Cyprinus carpio (common carp) is the source of this 474-nucleotide long non-coding RNA. RefSeq lists it as uncharacterized. The record is from RefSeq and is a predicted model, not a curated record. NCBI's taxonomy places the organism in Eukaryota, Metazoa, Chordata, Actinopteri, Cypriniformes, Cyprinidae. The transcript is spliced from 3 exons.
CUCUUGAAGUAUUUUCUUUUCGCAGGUGCACAUCUGUUGCAGUCAUCUGAGGUGAAACGGUCAAUGACUGAAACAUUCCCUGAAUUGACUGUGUCUGAGAAUGCGUCAUUACUAUGACACAUCGAAUGCAGUUUAUGAUCAUAGAGCCAUCGUAUCACUGUCACGAUACCAAUAUCACAACACAAUAUUAUUUUGGAUUGACGUGAAGAGAAGAGCCUGGCAGACAGUAGCUCCGAGCCACUUCCUCAACCACAUUCCAGCACUGCUAAAUACGCCACUUCAGAACGCAGGAGGCGACAUCAACUGAAUGCGGGCUGCUGACCUCAGCUCCUGAAAUAGCUCUCCAUGGUAAGCUGGAAGGAAAGGCACUUGUUGGUCAUUUUCCCCCAAUUCAUCCUUACAUAUUUAAGUUUGGAUUCUUUCUGACCACAGCAAACCCCUUUACUGUUGCACAGCUAAGAAUGUGCUAACCGA